UACUAAAUAGCUUAUUUAAGCGUAGGACUUUUAAUCCUAAGAUGGCUGCCGAUAUUAGAGCCUUUAGUAG
RNAcentral lists this transfer RNA (70 nucleotides) under Phoronis psammophila. Its description in RNAcentral is "tRNA-Lys". It matches the Rfam family "tRNA". Rfam says of the family: Transfer RNA (tRNA) molecules are approximately 80 nucleotides in length. Their secondary structure includes four short double-helical elements and three loops (D, anti-codon, and T loops). Lineage: Eukaryota; Metazoa; Phoronida; Phoronidae. The record is from RNAcentral.